RNAcentral lists this long non-coding RNA (798 nucleotides) under Gallus gallus (chicken). RNAcentral's name for it is "long non-coding RNA NONGGAT007214". Lineage: Eukaryota; Metazoa; Chordata; Aves; Galliformes; Phasianidae. The record is from RNAcentral.
GAACAGUCCCAUGGUAGCAUGCAAAUCUCAAGAGUUGUGGGAAAAGAUGAAGAGGCAGGACUGAAGAGCAGUAAGAAAAUAGGAAGAGGGAGGACUGAAUGGUAAAGUAAAAAGGCAGAACACAUAUCAGAAGUGAUCUUACUGACAGAGGGGCUGGGUGGCACUGCUGGCAUUCAAAUCACGUCAUUUGGCAACACAGGAGAAACAUCGAGAAGAGGUUGAAAAACUACAGCAGCUAAAAAAGUGACAUAAACUCAGAAAGGAGUUCAAAGCAGAUGAUACAAACAAAAUGCAGUUUGGGGCGAAAGAAGGGCUUGAUUUCACACAGUCUGAAAUGUACCUCAAAAGAUACAUGUAAAAGAGAUGCACCGAGAAGCAUCAGCUUAUGAAGCAGCCUUAAGAAAAUAAUUUGGAGAAGACUUUUCUCUUAAAGUAUUUGAAAUGUGGCUGAACAAAGCACUGGGAAUUAAGGCAGAGAAAAUUAACCUAGGAAGAGUUAGAUAGUACAAAAGAUCUUUUCUCAUUAGUACAGUUUUAAAAUUUUCCACAUUUGUGCUCCUUUUUUUCUGUUCCUUUGCUCUAAAUACUUCUAGAAGAGGCACUAACAGAAAAAAUGUGGAGAUAGAGGAGCAGCCAUUUUCAUGCCACACUUACAUACCACCGAGAGGGCAAUGAAUUCAUGGAGACUGAGCUAUAAGUAUUGUCCAUUAGGUGUUAGUAAAAUUUCAAGGGGCUAUGGAUUAAAAGGAAAAGAAUCCUGUCUUUCUAAUCUGUUAUAGAUGGUCAUUUCUCUGAAAC